Salvelinus fontinalis (brook trout) is the source of this 14246-nucleotide long non-coding RNA. RefSeq lists it as uncharacterized. The record is from RefSeq and is a predicted model, not a curated record. The transcript has 4 exons. NCBI's taxonomy places the organism in Eukaryota, Metazoa, Chordata, Actinopteri, Salmoniformes, Salmonidae.
CAAAAGUGGUUGAUCAAUGCAGCAGUGCGUUGCUCGAUUGCAUGUGCCGAUGGUGCGUUCAGUGCGACAUAAGUGUUCAAGUGUUUCACAUUAGCACCUCCCAAACAAUAACGUAUCAAUAUCAUAUAUGUCCCUUUUUUAUUCAACAUUGGAAAUUGGAGAUAAAAUAGAUUACAUGCUGCUGUGCGGCACACGCAUCACAAAAACACAAAAAUAUAAAAUAGAACAUUACAAUAAGGCACCGGACUACAGCUGUAUAGUUUUGAACCUUAAAGAAGGAGUCGACCGGGAUUGGUGAGAAGAAUGUCGAGUUGGCCAGAAAAGCAUGACAUGAAUGUGAAGUAGGCAAACUGAUACAAGAAUCCUAAAUACAGGUGCUACAGACACCGAAUGUUCCAAGGACCUCCAGAGCAGUCUGACCAACUACCUGCGAUCUCUCUAGAGAACAGAGAAGUAAGGUACACCCAUAAUAGUAUACUUGAUGCACUAUAUCAGUGGUUCCCAAACUUUUUAUAGUCCCGUACCCCUUCAAACAUUCAACCUCCAGCUGCAUACCCCCUCUAGCACCAGCGUCAGUACACUCUCAAAUGUUGCUUUUUUGCCAUCAUUGUAAGCCUGCCACACACACACUAUACGAUACACUUAUUAAACAUAAGAAUGAGUGUGAAUUUGUGUCACAACGCGCCUCGUGGGAAGUGACAAAGUGCUCUUAUAGGACCAGGGCACAAAUAAUAAUAUAAUAAUAAUCAAUAAUUUUGCUCUUUAUUUAGCCAUCUUACAUAUAAAACCUUAUUUGUUCAUCAAAAAUUGUGAAUAACUCACCACGGGUUAAUGACAAGGGUGUGCUUGAAUGGCUGCACAUAACUCUGCAAUGUUGGGUUGUAUUGGAGAGAGUCUCUGUCUUAAAUCAUUUUCCACACACAGUCUGUGCCUGUAUUCAGUUUUCAUGCUAGUGAGGGCCGAGAAUCCACUCUCACAUAGGUACGUGGUUGCAAAGGGCAUCAGUGUCAUAACAACGCGAUUUGCCAAGGCAAGAAACUCAGCGCAGCCCUAUCCAGAAAUCUGGCAGUGGCUUCUGAUUAAAUAAAAUUUUCACAGAACCGCUUGUUGCAAUUUCGAUGAGGCUCUCUUGUUCAGAUAUCGGUAAGUGGACUGGAGGCAGGGCAUGAAAGGGAUAACGCAUCCAGUUGUUUGUGUCAUCCGUCUCGGGAAAGUACCUGCGUAAUUGCGCACCCAGCUCACUCAGGUGCUUCGCUAUAUCACAUUUGACAUUGUCCGUAAGCUUGAGUUCAUUUGCACACAAAAAAAUCAUACAAUGAUGGAAAGACCUGUGUGUUGUCAGAAAAGAGCUCCAACUUCUUAAUCAUAGCCUCAAUUGUGUCCCGCAUCAUUGAAUAUAGUUGUGGAGAGUCCCUGUAAUCCUAGAUUCAGAUCAUUCAGGCGAGAAAAAGCAUCACCCAGAUAGGCCAGUCGUGUGAGAAACUCGUCAUCAUGCAAGCGGUCAGACAAGUGAAAAUGAUGGUCAGUAAAGAAAACUUUAAGCUUCUCUCUCAAUUCAAAAAAACAUGUUUAUACUUUGCCCCUUGAUAACCAGUGCACUUCUGUAUGGUCGCUGACCAUAUCAUUGCACCAUGCAGAAAAUACCCGAGAGUUCAUGGGCCUUGCUUUAACAAAGUUAACAACUUUCACUGUAGUGUCCAAAACGUCUUUAAAGCUGUCAGGCAUUCCUUUGAAAGCAAGAGCCUCUCGGUGGAUGCCCACACGUUGCCACUCCACUAUGUCUCCCUGUCAUGGCUUUUGUACCAUCAGUACAGAUACCAACACAUCUGGACCACCAAAGUCCAUUUGAUGUCACAAGCUGUCCAGUACUUUAAAAAUAUCCUCUCAUGUUGUCCUGGUUUCCAGUGGUUUCCAGAAGAGGAUGUCUUCCUUAAUAAUUAACCCACCAUAAACGUAAUGGACAUAUACCAGGUGCUGUGCCAGGCCCGCCACGUCUGUUGACUCAUCCAGCUGUAACGCAUAGAAUUCACUGGCUUGUAUGCGAAGCAGUAAUUGUUUCAAAACAUCUGCCAUGUCACUGAUGCAGUGUUGUUGGAUGGCAUUGUCUGUAUAGUUUGUUUUGGCCUUUUCCCCCAGCAUUGUCUCAGCCACAUCCGCGGCAGCAGGAUGAGUUAAGUCCUCCACAAUAGUAUGGGGCUUGCCUGUCCUAGGCACUCUUUAGGUCACCAUAUAAGAUGCUUCUAGACCCAUCUUAUUAAUUUUAAGCAAUUGUUACACAGGCACUUAACUGAACAAUGUAAAGAUCUCCUCAAUUUAAGGUAAGGUUUUGCCCUUAUAUGAUCUAAAUUGAUAUUGUUUUAUGAUGAUACAUCUAUCUUUUCAUAUUUGUGCAAAUCUUUCUAAAAGAGAAAAUGGACACCAUUCAAUCUCUGUCACACCCUGAUCUGUUUCACCUGUCUUUGUGAUUGUCUCUAUCCCCCUCCAGAUGUUGCCCAUCUUCCCCAUCCAUUAUCCCCUGUGUAUUUAUACCUGUGUUCUCUGUUUUUGUCUUGUUUGUGAACAAGCGUUUUUGUUCUCAGCUCCUGCUUUUUCCAGUCUUUCCUUUUUCGCGCCCUCCUAGUUUUGACCCUUGCCUGUCCUGACUCUGAGCCCGCCUGUCUGCUCACUCUGCCUGCCCCUGACCCUGCCUGCCGUCCAUUCCCUUGGCCCCACCUCUGGUUUAAUGACCCCUGCCUGCCUUGACCUGUCUAUUGCCUGGCCCUGUUGGAAUAUUAAACCAUUGUCUAUUCGACGUGUCUGCAUCUGGGUCUUACCUUGAUUUCUGAUAGAUUUGAAUCAACAAAGAGGUAAGAAUAUGUAUGCUAUAAGAAUAUGUUAAAGGCUACUUGUAUUGGGUGCAGAUGACUGAACUGCUCACUUUUGUGUCUGUGUCAUUUACAUUACAUUUAAGUCAUUUAGCAGACGCUCUUAUCCAGAGCGACUUACAAGUACAUACAUUCAUACUUUUUUGUACUGGCCCCCCGUGGGAAUCGAACCCACAACCCUGGCGUUGCAAGCGCCAUGCUCUACCAACUGAGCUACACGGGACCGUGUCUGCAGGUAUACUGACGAGGAGGCAUACAAAGGUAUGCUAUGCAGAUCACAUGUACCAUCCUCCUCCCGUACCUCUUCAAAGAUAAUCCCAUAGGCCUCUACAUUAUGAACAAGGUAUGUGUAUGAAAACCAUUAUCAAAACAGUUUUUUUCAUUCACGUUUACCAUAAAAACAAAGGUAGGAAUACUGUCGUUGUCACGUUCCUGACCUGUUUCUGUUAGUUUUGUAUGUGUUAGUUGGUCAGGACGUGAGUUUGGGUGGGCAGUCUAUGUUUUCUGUUUCUAUGUUUGUUUAAGGGUUGCCUGGUAUGGCUCUCAAUUAGAGGCAGGUGUUUGGCGUUUCCUCUAAUUGAGAGUCAUAUUAAGGUAGGUGUUUUCACACUAUUUGUUGUGGGUGGUUGUCUCCUGUGUCUGUGUCUAUGUAUGUUGCGCCACACGGGACUGUUUUCGGUUUGUUUGGUUUUUUCGGUUUAUGUAGUCUGUUCCUGUUUCAUGCGUUCUUCGUUAUAUGUAAGUUCUUAUGUUCAGGUGCGUCUACGUCGUUUGUUGUUUUGUAGUUUGUUAAAGUGUUUUCGUGUUUUUUCGUCUUUACUUUAAUAAAUAUUAUGUCUUCAUACCUCGCUGCACAUUGGUCUUCCGAUCCCUCUCUCCUCGUCCGAGGAGGAGGAAGAGCUAGAGCACCGUUACAGUCGUGUGCAUGUUUUUUGUUAAAUACCUGUAUAAUUAAAAUAUUUUGGUUUCACAGACUUCACCCUCCCUACACCGCUGAAUAUAAAAGGAAGCCUUUUUGAUCACGGUGCACUGCAAAAUCAUUCUGGCUACGGAUACGGAGUACAUCAACACAUUAGCAUCAACAUGCCAGAGGAUAUACCCAUUGGACUUGGAGCUCUAGAUUUUUUUAUUCUGUUUUGCCACUGAAAUCAUAAUAAACACUGACAACUAAAAUAUUGUGUUAUUGUUAUUAUAAAUAAUAGGUAGUUAAAAUGUUUACCUCAAAAGGUUAUUCAAACGGUUCCUAAGAAUUUAUAGGGGUUCUGUUUCAAUUUGAAGAACCUCUAAAGGCUACUCCAGGAACCUUUUCUUUUUAGAGUGCAGUAUGCUGCAAAUACUGCAUCCAAAAAAAACUGCAGUUAUUGCACUUUUACUACAGUUUCAAAACGGCAUAUUUUUUGUAAUGAUUGAAGUGCAAAGACACCCACAUCAAACCACAACUCCAAGACAACUCUCAUUUGCCAGUCAUGGCCACUAGCAUUACUUAAUGAGCAUUGAUGGAAAAACGAUGACCAAUCAAGAAGCGCAGUCACCCUUUAAGGCUAGGGCUGAAAUCAAGGUUUUAUUGUUAACCUACAAAGCAUUGCAUGAACUUGCUUCUACUUAUCACUCUGAUUUGGUCCUGCCGUAUUUACCUACACGUACUCUACGGUCACAAGAUGCGGGCCUCCUUGUUGUUCCUAGAAUUUCUAAGUAAACAGCUGGAGGCAGGGCUUUCUCCUAUAGAGCAGAUUUUUCUGGAAAGGUUUACCGAUCCAUGUGAGAGAUGCUGACUCGGUCUCAUCCUACACAUUUUGCCAUUAUUUGCAGUUGAAGUCGGAGGUUUGCUUACACUUAGGUUGGAGUCAUUAAAACUAGUUUUUCAACCACUCCACAAACUUCUUGUUAACAAACUAUAGUUUUGGCAAUUUGGUUAAAAACUAGUCUACUUUGUGCAUGACACAAGCUAUUUUUCCAACAAUUGUUUACAGACAGAUUAUUUCACUUAUAAUUCACUGUAUCACAAUUCCAGUGGGUCAGAAGUUUACAUACACUAAGUUGACUGUGCCUUUAAACAGCUUGGAAAAUUCCAGAAAAUGAUGUCAUGGCUUUAGAACCUUCUGAUAAGCUAAUUGACAUCAUUUGAGUCAAUCGGAGGUGUACCUGUGGAUGUAUUUCAAGGCCACCUUCAAACUCAGUGUCUCUUUGCCUGACAUCAUGGGAAAAACAAAAGAAAUCAGCCAAGACCUCAGAAAAAAAAUUGUAGACCUCCACAAGUCUGGUUCAUCCUUGGGGGCAAUUUCCAAACGCCUGAAGGUACCACGUUCAUCUGUACAAACAAUAGUACACAAGUAUAAACACCAUGGGACCACACAGCCAUCAUACCGCUCAGGAAGGAGACGCGUUCUGUCUCCUAGAGAUGAACGUGCUUUGGUGCGAAAGGAGGAAAAAGGGGGAUGCUUGCAAGCUGAAGAACACCAUCCCAACCGUGAAGCACGGGGGUGGCAGCAUCAUGUUGUGGGUGUGCUUCGCUGCAGGAGGGACUGGUGCACUUCACAAAAUAGAUGGGCAGGAAAAUUAUAUGGAUAUAUUGAAGCAACAUCUCAAGACAUUAGUCAGGAAGUUAAAGCGUGGUCGCAAAUGGGUCUUCCAAAUGGACAUGACCCCAAGCAUACUUCCAAAGUUGUGGCAAAAUGGCUUAAGGACCACAAAGUCUAGGUUUUGGAGUGGCCACAAAGCCCUGACCUCAAUCCUAUAGAAAAUUUGUGGGCAGAACUGAAAAAGCGUGUGUGUGCAAGGAGGCCAACUAACCUGACUCAGUUGCACCAGCUCUGUCAGGAGGAAUGGGCCAAAAUUCACCCAACCUAUUGUGGGAAUCUUAUGGAUGACUACCCAAAACGUUUGACCCAAGUAAAACAAUUUAAAGGCAAUGCUACCAAAAUCUAAUUGAGUGUAUGUACAGUGGGCUCCAAAAUUACUGGCACCCCUGACUGGCAAUGCACAAACAAUACUUAAAAAUAUAUAAACAAUAUAAUUAUAGAGAAACUCAAAAUACCAACAUGUGAGAAAUACUGUACUUUAUUCAUGUUUCAAUGGAACCAACCAAAAUCAUUCAAUUAUUUAAUACAAAAUAAAUGUAACCAAAAUCAAGGUUUCAUAAUUAUUGGCACUCCUCAUUUAGUACUUAGUGCAACCACCUCUGGCAUGGCUAACAGCAUGGAGUCUAUUCCUGUAAUGUUUGACAAGGAUAACUUCUCUAGGAUAGGGGGCAGCAUUUUCACUUUUGGAUAAAUAGCAUGCCCAAUUUCAACUUCCUUCUACUCAUCCCCAGAAUAUAAGAUAUGCAUAUUAUUUGUAGAUUUGGAUAGAAAACACUCUGAAGUUUGUAAAACUGUUUGAAUCAUGCCUGUGAGUAUAACAGAACAUAUGUAGCAGGCAAAACCACGAGGACUAACCAUUCAGAUCUUUUUUCUUUGAGGUCACUGUCUGUUCAAUGAGCUUUCAUUGGGAUACUAGAUUUCUAAGGGACUUGUUUGCAGUUCCUACCGCUUCCACUGGAUGUCACCAGUCUUUGGAAAUUGGUUGAGGUUAUUCCUUUGUGCAAUGAAGAAGUACGGCCAUCUUGAAUUAGUGUAACGUUAUGUGUACUGUUUGAGAGUUGCGCAAGACUAGAAAAGUAGCGUUAGUUUGUUGUCCUCCUGUAUUGAAAACAGAUAGACCCGUCUUCAAUUUGAUCGAUUAUUAACGUUUAACCUGUUUGGCGUGCAAGCCCGACGUCGGUACAUUUAUGACAACAGCCAGCUCAAAGUGCAGGGCGCGAAAUUCAAAAGAUAUUUUUUUAAAUAUUUAACUUUCACACAUUAACAAGUCCAAUACAGCAUAUGAAAGGUACACAUCUUGUGAAUCCAGCCAACAUGUCCGAUUUUUAAAAUGUUUUACAGGGAAGACAAAAUAUGUAAAUCUAUUAGCUAACCACGUUAGCAAAAGACACCACUUUUUUUACUAUAACAGUUUAUUACUCCAUCAGUAGCUAUCACAAAUUCGACCAAAUAAAGAUAUAAAUAGCCACUAACCAAGAAACAACUUCAUCAGAUGACAGUCUGAUAACAUAUUUAUUGUAUAGCAUAUGUUUUGUUCGAAAAAUUUGCAUAUUUCAGGUAUAAAUCAUAGUUUACAUUUCAGCUACAAUCAGAAAUUGCACCGAAAGCAGCCAUAAUAUUUACAGACACCAACGUUAAAUACCUAAUUACUCAUCAUAAAACAUUUCUGAAAAAUACAUAGUGUACAGCAAUUGAAAGACAGGCAUCUUGUGAUUUCAGACAAUAUUUCCGAUUUAUUAAAUGUUUUACAGCGAAAACAAAAUGUAGCGUUAUAUUAGCGUAGCCACAAUAGCCAGAAACACUUGGGCGCCGACGACCAGUUCACAUGCACGACAGAUAUUAGAAAUAGCAUCAUAAAAUGUUUCUUACUUUUGGUGAUCUUCCGUCAGAAUGUUGGACAAGGUGUCCUUUGUCCAGAACAGUCGUUGUUUGGAUCUGGAACGGCAAAUUUCCCUCUUCAUUUAGCAUGGGCACUUGCCAAGUGGCACGGAUCUCUCCAAGUCAACAAAGUCAGAGAACGGAACACGGCAAAACUCCCGAAAAAUUUUCAAUAAUCUGAUUAAACUAUAUUGAAAAAACAUACUUUACAAUGAUAUGGUCACAUGUAUCAAAUAAAAUCAGAACCAGAGAUAGUAGUCGUCAAUAACGGCAGCUAAACAGAAGGCAAUCCCACUGUCCAACUGGCGCUGCCAAGAGUAACGGAAAUGAGGGACACGUCAUACAAAGAGCUUGUAUUCCAAUUCAGAACAAGAUGAACACAAAAUUUCUUCUCUCACAGCCUCUUGACAACCAGGGGAAGGUCUAUGAAGUGUACGUAGACUCUUACGUUUUAUGCCCAUGUAUAGGCAGGAAGUUGAACAGAGCAUCGAUUUCAGACAUUCCACUUCCUGGUCAGGAAAUGUGCUGCAGAAGGAGUUCUGUUUCACCCAGAGAAAUAAUUCAAACGGUUUUAGAAACUAGAGAGUGUUUUCUAUCCAAUAGUAAUAAUAAUAUGCAUAUUGUACGAGCAAGAAUUGAGGACGAGGCCGUUUGAAAUGGGCAUCUUUUAUCUGGCUACUCAAUACUGCCCCUUGCAGCCAUAAGAAGUUAAAAAUACCUAAAGUUGUAUUGCAAAAGUAGUUUGAAAUGUUUUGGCAAAGUUUACACGUAACUUUUGAUAUAUUUUGUAGUGACGUUGCGCAAAUUGGAAGCAGUUUUUUUCUGGAUCAAACGCUCCAAAUAAAUGGACAUUUUGGAUAUAUACGGACAGAAUUAAUUGAACAGAAGGACCAUUUGUAAUGUUUAUGGGACAUAUUGGAGUGCCAACAAAAGAAGCUCGUCAAAGGUAAGGCAUGAUUUAUAUUUUACUUCUGCGUUUUGUGUUGCGCCUGCAGGGUUGAAAUAUGCUACGCUCUCUUUGUUUACUGUUGUGCUAUCAUCAGAUAAUAGCAUCUUAUGCUUUCGCCAAAAAGCCUUUUUGAAAUCUGACAUGUUGGCUGGAUUCACAACGAGUGUAGCUUUAAUUUGGUAUCUUACAUGUGUGAUUUAAUGAAAGUUUGAUUUUUAUAUCAUUUUAUUUGAAUUUGGCGCUCCGCAUUUUCCCUGGCUUUUGGCCAAGUAGGAUGCAAUCGUCCCACCUAUCCCAGAGAGGUUUUAAGGAAUACUUUUGUAGGGAUUUUGGACCAUUCCUCUAUGCAGAUCCUUUCAAGAUCCUUCACAUUCUUGGGUUCGCGCUUAUCAACAGCCCUCUUCCACUCAGCCCACAGGUUUUCGAUUGGAUUGAGGUCCGGCGACUGAGAUGGCCAUGGCAGAACAUUGAUUUUGUUGUCACAGAACAAUUUCUGUGUGGAUCUUGAGGUAUGUUUCGGGGCAUUGUCUUGUUGGAAAGUCCACCUACGGCCAAGUCCCAGCCUUCUGGCAGAGGCAACCAGAUUGUCAGCCAAAAUUGCCUGAUACUUGGUAGAAUUCAUUAUGCCAUCAAUCUUAACCAGUGCCCCUGGACCUCUGGAAUUAAAACAGCCCCAGACAUCACUGACCCCACUCCAUAUUUCACCGUGGGUAUGAGGUGCCUCUCCUUGUAUGCAUCUCAGUUUCGACGCCAAACAUGCUGAUGCUGUAUCUGACCAAAACGUUCAAUUUUGGUCUCAUCUGACCAGAGCACCUUCUUCCAGUCAUAAUUUAAAUGACGUUUGGCAAACUCCAAGCGCCUGCGUCUGUGUCUUGGGGUCAGAAAGGGCUUUCUUCUGGCAACCCUUCAAAAGAGCCUGUGGAUGUGGAGGUGGCGUCUGAUGGUGCUUUUUGAAACUUGGUGUCCCCAAGACACCACCAAGGCCUGCAAUUCUUUCACAGUGAUUCUUUGGGAUUUUGUUGCUUCUCUCACCAUCCUCCUCCCUAUCCUGGGGGGCAAAAUUAAUUUGCGUCCUCUACCCUUGAGGUUUUCAACUGUUCCAUAUCUUUUGAAUUUUCUAAUAAUUGCCCUGACAGUGCUCAGUGGUAUAUUCAAUCGUUUGUGGACCUUCUUGUAGCCAUUACCAGAUUUAUGAAGGUCUAUGACCAUCUGUCUCUUUUGAACUGCUAGUUCUUUUGUUUUCUUCAUGGUGUUGGAUGACAAAGGGAUAUUGCAUGUGUGUUACCUCAUUUUUAUACCCUAGUGAAACAGGAAGUGAUGUAAUGGCUCACUAUAGUUCCUUAAGACUUAGAUACACUUAAAUAAGUGGAAUUUAAUUUGUGGUUUAAUUUUGGUAGAUGUUAUUUACAAUAAUCUUCAAGGGUGCCAUUAAUUGUGAAACCUUGAUUUGGAGGACAUUGAUUUUUAAUUAAAUCAAUAUAUUAUUUUGGUUGUUUCCAUUGAAACAUUAAUAAAGUACAGUAUUUCUCACAUGUUGGUAUUUUGAGUUUAUCUAUAUAAUUAUAUUGUUUAUAUUUGUUUAAGCAUUGUUUGUGCAUUGCCAGUCAGAGGUGCCAGUAAUUUUGGAGCCCACUGUAAACUUCUGACCCACUGGGAAUGUGAUGAAAUAAAUAAAUCAUUCUCUCUACUAUUAUUCUGACAUUUCACAGUCUUAAAAUAAAGUGGUGAUCCUAACUGACCUAAAACAGGGAAUUGUUACUCGGAUUAAAUGUCAUGAAUUGUGAAAAACUGAGUUUAAAUGUAUUUGGCUAAGGUGUAUGUAAACUUCUGACUUCAACUGUUUGACAGACUGACCAGGUGAAUCCAGGUGAAAGCUAUGAUUCCUUAUUGAUGUCACCUGUUAAAUCUGCAUCAAUCAGUGUAGAUGAAGGUGAGGUUAAGAAGGAUGUUUAAGCCUUGAGACAAUUGAGAAAUGGUUUGUGUAUAUGUGCAAUUCGGAGGUUGAAUGGGCAAGAUAAAAGAUUGAAGUUCCUUCUGUAAAACAACAUUGGAGGCAGCUUAUGGAGAGAAAUUAUCAUUGAAUUGUCUGGCAACAGCUAUAGUUGACAUUCCUGCAGUCAGCAUGCCAAUUUGCCACUCCCUCAACUUGAGACAUCUGUGGUAUUUAUUGCCCCCAGCACAAGGUGCACCUGUGUAAUGAUUAAGCUGUUUAAUCAGCUUCUUGAUAUAGCACAUCUGUCAGGUGGAUGGAUUAUCUUGGCAAAUGAGAAAUGCUCACUAACAAGGAUGUCAACAAAUUUGUGCACAACAUUUGAGAAAUAAGCUUUUUGUGCAUAUUUUUUGGGGAGCUUUAUUUAUCUAGGCAAUACAGUUAAGAACAAAUUUUUAUUUUCAAUGAUGGCCUAGGAACAGUGGGUUAACUGCCUUAUUCAGGGGCAGAACAACAGAUUUUUACAUUGUCAGCUCAGGGAUUCGAUCUUGCAACCUUUCAGUUACAAGUCCAACGCUCUAACCACUAGGCCACCUGCCGCCCCAUAUACAUGUGGAACACUUCUGGGAUUUUUUGUUUCAGCUCAUGAAACAUUAAAUGUUGCGUUUUAUAUUUUUGUUCAGUGUACUUUAAAUGCCCAUUUAUCAGCAGGAAAGUGAUGCUCAUGAGCUCCUAGUAUCUGUAAUAGGGUGGCAGGUAGCCUAGCGGUUAGCCUGUUGGGCCAGUAAGUAGCAAUUUAAGUUCAACAAAGGCUUUCUGUAAAGCAAAAAAAGUGCCUGGUCAACGGAAGUGGCAACAAAAUACACAAGUAUCGUCCACAUACAAUUGGCUGUUAGAAUUUCUUAUAGACAAAGCAAUAUUGUUUAUAUAGAUAGUAAAAAGUACAGGGCCCAAGAUUUACUCUUGGAGGACACCUUUAGUAAUAUCAAGGAAACCUUGAUAUUGAACCUUGAACCUUAACGCCAUCAGAAGAAACAUAUUGUGUCCGGUCUUUCAAGUAGUGUUCAAACCAAAUGCAGGCUGCCUGACCCCGGCCAAUUUCAGACAGUAUACACAUGAAUAAUGAAUGCUCAAAGGUGUCAAAAGCCUUCGACAGGUCUAUAAUGCUGCCUUUUUUUCAAUGCAAUUUACAAUGUCAUUUAACACCAAAGAAGCAGCAGAUUUGGUGCUUUGACCUGGCCUGAAACCAGACUGAUAGACACUUUGAAGCUGACAAGAUCUAAGCUGAGUGUUGUUUAAAGAGUCAAAGAUGUUCGCUAGGCAAGACAGUUUAGAGAACGGACGAUAAUUAUUCAUAUCAGAGGGGUCACCACAUUUGUGGAGAGGGAGCACAUGGGCAGGCUUCCAUAUCCUAGGGCUAGCACCCGAGAUAAAUGUCUGGUUAAAAAUGUGUCAAUAAUUCCACAAUUACAAGAAAAUAAAGGUGCAGCAAGAAAGGAUCACGCAAGUCAACCCCAGUGGAUUUUUUUCCCCCAUCAAUUACAGAUUCACUAACUCACUUCUUGCAAAUAAAAGGCCUGCAGAGAUAAAAUGUUGAUUCAUCUGUUUGGAAUCCCUAAUACAUGUAAUAGGACAGUGAUCAAUGAGAUCAUUAGAAAAGACACCACUGGACAAGUCCUUGUGGGAGCUGUUUGUCAGAAAUAGGUCAAUAAGUGAGCAGUUUGCUGGAUUUUUUUUGAACGUUAACCCAUGUGGGUUUUGAAAUCAGUUGAGUCAGGUUAAAGUCAAGACAAAUAUUCUUGAAAUGGUCUGAGGCCGGGGUAAACCAAUCUAAGUGAAGAAAUCCACCAAGACGACUAAUUCAGUUGACAGAAAAGGUUUGAAAUACUAGAAAUAGUGUGGAUCUUCUCCAGCAGUUCACGGAGAGCCUCCACAGUGUCUUCGUUAAUCUUUUCACUCACACUCCCCUUAACCCUCUCAAUCUCCCUCUACACCUCUCCUCCAGCCCUUUUGCUCCAAUGAAUAUGUGAAGGUUGAGGUGUGGGUGCUGAUUUGAGAAAUCCCAGGUUAGGUACUGGGAAGCAAAAAAAGUACCAUUAUCCUAUGAACAAUACCAAAGCUCUAUUCUGUUCGGUCCAGUUUAGUUUAGUCUGGACCAAUGGUUAUAAUAAAUGGUUCUUCAGAACAUGUUUAUUUUUGUCCACUUGUCAUUAGCUUGUGAUAUCAUGACAUGGACCUUGUCCCCUGUUGUUCUAUAAGAAGUCCUCGUCACAAGUGCGGUAAAUUCCUGUAUCGGUGUUGGUACAGAGAAAGAAUGUUGUUUCCAUGUAUUUACGUGUUCUGUUCUCUACUCCCCAGGGCUCUUGACCUCAGCGAAGCUCUAAGGCCACUUAAGUGAGGCUGCAGACAUGUUGUCUCCUGUAUAACAGGGUGUAUCCUCCUACUGAUGUGAACUCUGGUUAGCUUCAAUUAAUAAGGAGAUAGCAUGGAGCAUAUCUAAUGCUGCCUUCACAGCUCUACACUCCUGCCUCGUCCUCUGGAGACGAAGGAGACCUUUAAACGACCAACGGCUCUCUUGGAAGAGGCAGAUACUAUCUUUAAUCUUACCUGACUGAUGCGUGAAUGGAGACAAGCCAUAGAUACAGUAUACAUAAAUAAGUGAUUUUUAAGAUCGAAUAAAUAGUACUUUAUUAGUCCAGCUCUUAUGAGAUGGACAUUCUUCUUCUGCUCUGCGCCCCACAACACGUACAUAAUGGGAUGAAAUGUAUUGUCUGUUAUGAAUAUGUUUGAGUUCAACACCAACACAUUCUUUCGUCUGAGGAUAUUCCAACAUUUUGGCUACAGAAGGCACACAGUUGGAAAAUAGCUUCAAAACAUGUGUAAACAUAAAGCGGCCAUUUGAGAAACAGUCCUAAUGAAACAUCCAUACCAGGUGUAUGAAAACCCAGAUUUUUAGCUGUACGCUCUUAGAUACAUUACACGAAGAGGUUUGUGGGCCAAACUUUGUGUUCGUUUUCCAUUUCAAAACUUGAUAGAGACUGAUUUCCUUAAUGUAACAGAACCUAUGAAAGCUUGGGAUGCCUAUGUGGUGGACUUUUUCCAAACUAUACUUAAAAGACAAGCCUCUGUCUUGAUAAGGUACCAACAAGCUGAAAUGCCUCAGAGGCUAAACACACUGGGCACACACUGGUUGAAUCAAUGUUGUUUCCAUAUCAUUUCAACUAAAUUCUGUUGAACUCAUGUGAAAUAGGUGUUGAAUUAAAGUCUGUGCCCUCCAGUAAGGCUAUAACAUUCUGAUGAUGUCACAUAUUGCAGUAAAAUGAUUUGUAUCUUCUCUAAUAGCAAGGUAACAGUCUUGAAGGAAGCACUUUGCUUUCCUGAGUUGUAAAUACACUUACAGGGGUAGGCAUUUCUACCCGAAAAGAGAUGCCGGCUUUCAUUUGAUACAUUUUCUGAAAACGAUUGAUUAGGCGUAAAAUUAGAUGUGUUACGACAAAAGCUUUCACUCACACUGGCCCUCUCCAGGUAAGAUUGCCCACCUCUAGUUAAGUGUGACAUUUUCACAGAUCUUCCUAUACAAUAGGAAAUAGACUAUUUGUUAUGACACAGAUGUAAAUAUGUAUGUAAACUGUUGCGCCUAUGAUCCUUUUUACCCUCCUAGAAGAUAAGCGCAUUCCGUAAAGCGCAAUAGAAGUAAUAAGGUGCAAUGUAAUUGUUGCUCCGGUACCCCAGGCACAUGUUUGUCAUGUUCCAGAAUUGAUGUUUCAUAAAUCAUCUGUGUUACCCACUAGUUUAUAAACUCAGUCUGUCAGCUCGCAAUCUGUCGCUCCGGCCCACCGUCGCACAGCUUUUCAUUAGACAGGGUGGCAAAAGUAUGUCAAGGAGGAACCAGCAGCGGUGCUGUCAUUACCCAGACCAUGAACGUACAUCUGGCAGUCGUGUUGCUUUUGGAGAAAUAUUGCCCGUUGUCUUGUUAAAUGGAGGGCAUCUGUUGGCGACACCGGAGCGUUGCUCACAGAAACGGAAAUUAAACUAAGAUGUAUUUC